UGAGGAACAUGACUUUCGGUGGGGAUAGCCGGCCCAACGGCCGGGUAAUACCGCGUACGACCACAUGGGGACAUCCCCGAGUGGUGAAAGCAGCAAUGCGCCGAUGGAGUGCCUCGCGGCCUAUCAGCUUGUUGGUGGGGUAACGGCUCACCAAGGCAACGACGGGUAGCUGGUCUGAGAGGAUGGCCAGCCACAUUGGGACUGAGACACGGCCCAGACUCCUAGUGGAGG
RNAcentral lists this ribosomal RNA (231 nucleotides) under uncultured bacterium. RNAcentral's name for it is "partial 16S ribosomal RNA". It matches the Rfam family "Bacterial small subunit ribosomal RNA", at positions 118 to 348 of the family's 1533-position model. The record is from RNAcentral.